Molecule: ribosomal RNA, 393 nt
Filed under: uncultured bacterium
Lineage: Bacteria
Description: partial 16S ribosomal RNA
Rfam family: Bacterial small subunit ribosomal RNA
Source: RNAcentral
AUACGGAGGAUCCGAGCGUUAUCCGGAUUUAUUGGGUUUAAAGGGAGCGUAGGUGGAUUGUUAAGUCAGUUGUGAAAGUUUGCGGCUCAACCGUAAAAUUGCAGUUGAAACUGGCAGUCUUGAGUACAGUAGAGGUGGGCGGAAUUCGUGGUGUAGCGGGGAAAUGCUUAGAUAUCACGAAGAACUCCGAUUGCGAAGGCAGCUCACUAGACUGUUACUGACACUGAUGCUCGAAAGUGUGGGUAUCAAACAGGAUUAGAUACCCUGGUAGUCCACACAGUAAACGAUGAAUACUCGCUGUUUGCGAUAUACAGUAAGCGGCCAAGCGAAAGCAUUAAGUAUUCCACCUGGGGAGUACGCCGGCAACGGUGAAACUCAAAGGAAUUGACGGGG